GUUAGUGUGGCAUAGUGGUUUGGGCGUUGGACUAUGACUCUGGAGGCCAGGGUUCAAUUCUUGUUUGGCCA
RNAcentral lists this transfer RNA (71 nucleotides) under Phrynosoma platyrhinos (Desert horned lizard). RNAcentral describes it as "tRNA-OTHER". The record is from RNAcentral. Lineage: Eukaryota; Metazoa; Chordata; Lepidosauria; Squamata; Phrynosomatidae.